UCACCUCGUCACGUACGCCACGAGGUCGUCCAGGUCCCGGCGCGAGGACCCGCCGUCGGCCACGGCGGCGCGAAUGGCCUGCCCGAGCGCCCUCGCCCGCUCCCGGACUGUCGCCCCUUCCUCCGAUCGCAUCGCCCUCUCGGUGGCCUCGCGGAUGGCGGCCGCCGGCGUGACUUGCCCGCGCUCCUCCCAUGGCCGCACGAGGACGCCGGCCCCGAGGUAUUUGCACACCAGCUCCGCGUCCCAUGGCUGGUCGCUGUGCAUCGGCCACGCCAGGAUGGCCUUCCCGUGGCUCAGCCCCUCCACCGUCGAGUUCCACCCGCAGUGGCUCAUGAAAGCCGCCGUCGCGACGUGCGCCAGGAUCUCCAGCUGCGGCGCCCACCCGGUGACCACCACGCCCGUCCCCUGAGCCGCUGCGUCGCCGAGCAGGGACGCCGCUGCGUCGCCGAGCAGGGACGCCGCCGCGUCCGCGAGCCCGCGCGCGCCGCCGGACUCGCGCAUGUCCGCCCGGUCGGCGUCGCGCAGCACCCAGACGAACCGCUGGUUGGUGUCGCGCAGCGCUGCGGCCAGCUCCCUCGCCUGCUCUGUCCGGAGAGACGACGUCGUGCCGAACGAAAUGUACAGCACCGACAACGGCGGCUGCCUGUCGAGCCAUUCCAGGCACUCGUGUCGCUCCGCCGGAGCCUGUGCGGCCGCGGCCGCAUCGGUGGCGGGCAGCACCGGGUUCAGAGGCCCGAUGGCGAACAGCGUGUGGCCGUCGGAGGAGGAAGCGCUCUGGGCGGCGAGCACGUCGAGGAACUCGCCCUCGAGCGCGCGGCAGGUGUUCACGACCAUGCCGGCCCCGGGCGCGCGGCGGCGCUCCUGGCCCAUCCGCUUGGCGAGCGCCACGAACUCCUUGGUCGCGCAGGCGUCUGCCGGGUGGAACACCAUCCCGUGGUCCCGCAGGAGGCGGUGGCCGGGGUCCAUCCACCCGACGUUGUAGGACGCAGCGAGGCAGUGCACCCCGAGCGCCUCCCCGUUGGGCAGCCGGGCUGCUUCGCCGGCCGCGAACGCCGCCAUGCGGUCGUGCAGGACCACGACGCGGCGGUGGGACGCCGAGAGCUCGUGCAGGAGCGCGGACAGCGAGGCCCGGGCGGCGCCGCCGUCGCAGAAGGCCUCGAACAGGGGCUGCAUGUGCGUCGGGAACGGCGAGGACGGGUCGGGGUCCGGGGACGCGUGCGCCGGGACGUCGAGGGCGCGGAAGCGGAGGGCGAGGAAGGAGCCGGCGUCCCAGCCGUGCACGCGCGCGCGGGCCUCCCGGAGGUGCGGCUCCGGCGCGGCGAAGUGCACGGGGAUCCCCCGGCCCGCGAGCAGCAGCGACACGUGCAGGAGCUGGUUCAGGUGGCCCUGCGCCGGGAACGGCACGGUGACCACGGCGACGGGAAGGGAUUCCAU
RNAcentral lists this ribosomal RNA (1434 nucleotides) under Triticum aestivum (bread wheat). RNAcentral's name for it is "partial small subunit ribosomal RNA". The record is from RNAcentral. Lineage: Eukaryota; Viridiplantae; Streptophyta; Magnoliopsida; Poales; Poaceae.